AGCGAACGCUGGCGGCAGGCCUAACACAUGCAAGUCGAACGAACUCUUCGGAGUUAGUGGCGGACGGGUGAGUAACACGUGGGAACGUGCCUUUUGGUUCGGAAUAACUCAGGGAAACUUGUGCUAAUACCGAAUGUGCCCUUCGGGGGAAAGAUUUAUCGCCAUUAGAGCGGCCCGCGUCUGAUUAGCUAGUUGGUGAGGUAACGGCUCACCAAGGCGACGAUCAGUAGCUGGUCUGAGGGGAUGACCAGCCACACUGGGACUGAGACACGGCCCAGACUCCUACGGGAGGCAGCAGUGGGGAAUCUUGCACAAUGGGCGAAAGCCUGACGCAGCCAUGCCGCGUGAAUGAUGAAGGUCUUAGGAUUGUAAAAUUCUUUCACCGGGGACGAUAAUGACGGUACCCGGAGAAGAAGCCCCGGCUAACUUCGUG
Molecule: ribosomal RNA, 433 nt
Filed under: uncultured bacterium
Lineage: Bacteria
Description: partial 16S ribosomal RNA
Rfam family: Bacterial small subunit ribosomal RNA
Source: RNAcentral